UGGAGGUGCCUUUGAAUUAGGGCAUUAUGGGAGGUGAUUUAUAUGUUGCUUUUAAUGACAAAUGUCUCCAUAAAAAUUCACUAAUUUUCUACCUACUAUUUAUAUCUGUUCAUCAUUGGAAGAUCUAAUUCUGGUCACAGAUUCUGCAUAGUCACCGAGCUGCUUGUUGAGGAAAGGGGAAGGGCGUCACACGACCAGAAAAGGCUACGUAAAUCUGAGUGGAAGCUGCUAAAAAAAGAAGCGGCACCAAGUUUGGUCCACUGUGGCUCUACCCAAUCUGCUUCAAGGUUGGAUGGGUUGUACCUUCACAGAUGGUAUUCUCCAUAGAAUAUCAUCAUAGGUGACAGCAAGAGUGAUGCAUAGCGCUCUCCUGCAUGUGUCUCCUUCUCUCCUGCUCAACGUGAAUCAAUUUUCAUCAGAAAACUGCACCGAGGCCCACUGCUCCCGCAUCAAGCGUAACUGUUCUCUGGCUCAUACAAGACGAAGAUGCCUGUGCCUGGUGAUGUGGUCAGGUACCCUUGCAGCUUGUCCACCACGCAGACCACAUUGAUGUAAACGGUUUGGAAUGGUCUGACAACACUCGGGUGCCUCUCACCUUCCUUAAAUGUGCCUGGAGUUGAGUGGCAUUCAUCAUCUGGUUCUGCAGGGCACUGUUCACAAUGAAGUGGUCAUCAAUGUAGGAUGUGGCCAAAUAACACCCACUUCUAUGUCUUUCUGUGACUCUUCCUGUCUCUCUGAUGCAACCUGUUGAUAUCACUCUGAUACUCUAAGCUCAGUGGUUACUUCCGUUUGAGAACAUCCUGUCUUGUAGUGGUGUGGUACUGUUAAUCAAAUCUCAGGUGUCAUCUUGAUCUCAUGAUGUCAAAAAAUGUACAGCAUUGUGAGGAGGCCUGUUUAGAUAACAAAUCUGAUUGAAACAGGAAAUGUGUUGGUCAAUUCAAGGA
Molecule: long non-coding RNA, 944 nt
Organism: Girardinichthys multiradiatus
Lineage: Eukaryota; Metazoa; Chordata; Actinopteri; Cyprinodontiformes; Goodeidae
Exons: 3
Source: RefSeq, a predicted model, not a curated record